GAAGUAGUACAAAUGAUGUGUGUUUCC
This 27-nucleotide small RNA is filed under the name Bombyx mori (domestic silkworm). RNAcentral describes it as "ovarian small RNA-15264". The record is from RNAcentral. Lineage: Eukaryota; Metazoa; Arthropoda; Insecta; Lepidoptera; Bombycidae.